AUAAGAAUCAUACUUGGGGGGCAGAGGAGCUAGUUUUGAGUUUUGGCUCUACCACUACCUGGAUGAUGACCUUGGGCAGAUACUGAAGAGAUGAGUUACAAGGAUUUGUCAGGCCAUGAGACACAGAAUCUCAGAGAACCUUCAGAGCUGGCAGGGGAAAGGUUCCAAACUGUUGAGGAGACUGUUGGACUUCACUUGGGGGUUUGCAGCUAACAAAGAAGCUGGUAGUUGCUGAUCUGUGCUCUUCUGGACAACUCUGGAUCAUCCUUCAAGCAGCCCUCUGGACAAGAAUGGAUAGGUGUGUCCCAAUUACCCUUGGGUGGACCAAGGGAAAGAUUGGGAGCUCCAGUCAUUCUCUAGACCAUCUAGGACUCCUCAUCUGGACUCCAGCCUCUACUUGGCAAAAGACUCUAUAUCUAUAAGUUAGGAAGAACAACUCUGAGCUAGUCUUGAGAAUCCAGUGGGAGAGAGCUCUUAGCUUUGUCCCC
This 488-nucleotide long non-coding RNA is filed under the name Monodelphis domestica (gray short-tailed opossum). RNAcentral describes it as "lncRNA (ENSMODG00000049728.1)". Lineage: Eukaryota; Metazoa; Chordata; Mammalia; Didelphimorphia; Didelphidae. The record is from RNAcentral.